This is a long non-coding RNA of Haplochromis burtoni (Burton's mouthbrooder), 1059 nucleotides long. RefSeq lists it as uncharacterized. The record is from RefSeq and is a predicted model, not a curated record. Lineage: Eukaryota; Metazoa; Chordata; Actinopteri; Cichliformes; Cichlidae. The transcript is spliced from 2 exons.
ACCCUGCACCUUCCCCGAUAAAAUGAUGCGAGUCACAACCCCCACCAGCCACUUACAUUUGCCAGUGAAUCAUAGUUCUCAUCAACUUGAAGUUGACAGAGGGAUACAAUGGAAGUACGCCAAACUCCUCCUUCAUCCUAUCUUGGAUGGUCCAUCUUUAAUACUUUUUGCUGUUGUCUGCCUCUCGGGAUUGCAGCUAUUAUCUAUUCUAGCAAGGUAGAGUCGGCAAAUGGACGCGGAGACAUCGACAGAGCUGAAGAUGCAUCAAAAACAGCCAAGACGCUGAACAUCGCCGGACUCAUCUGUGGAAUAAUUAUUAUCAUCAUUUAUGUCUCCAUCAAAUUUACUGAACAAAAGUGAAGCUUCUGGUAUUUCCCAGAAGGCGCACUGCAAUUCCAGCCAUUUUAUGCCCUCUGCUUUCGCUCUUCAACGUUCACCACUAGAUAUGGACUGACGUCUUUAUGUGUGGCGUGUACGUUACCAGUAAAAAGCAAAACAAUUCUUUGCUUUCAUGGUGCAAGCCAAAAGUUGUUGUCAAAUGAGAAGCCUCAAUUAAGUUUUGAUUUUCAUGUGCAUAAACUUGAUUUUUUUUUUUUUUUUUUUUUAUUGCUUAAUUUGCUUAGAUUUUUUUUCAAGUAAUCUCUUAAAGAAAACUGAGAAGGAAAAAAAUAAAUAUUUAGCCCCCCAUAAAUUUGGCAUAAUAAAACACAAUAUGAACUUUUUAAAGUUUUAUUGUCGAUACUGUUAUUGUUGGUCUCAUUGCAUUUACCGUUUAUAAUCUUAUUUCAGAGAUUUGUUUUUCUGUUUGUACAACUCCUUCAGAAUGCAUUAUAAUAAAUGCACAGUUUGUCAGACACAUAGUAAAUUUAGCCUUUAUUGUAUUUAUUUCUUAAAUAGAUUUGAGAUUUUCCUAUAUAUUUAACAUUAUCAUGAAAAUGUGAAACGCAUGCACUAUGUUCAACCAGGCUGGUCUUCAGCUUUUUCUGUGGCUUCAGAACUCUUCUCUCUCAGAAGUUCUUCAAGAUGAGAGAAUAAAGAUGUUUCUCUGUGCUUCCUCUG